Molecule: non-coding RNA, 24 nt
Filed under: Arabidopsis thaliana (thale cress)
Lineage: Eukaryota; Viridiplantae; Streptophyta; Magnoliopsida; Brassicales; Brassicaceae
Source: RNAcentral
UGAUGAGAUGUGCAUCAAUGGUAU